Molecule: ribosomal RNA, 119 nt
Filed under: Triticum aestivum (bread wheat)
Lineage: Eukaryota; Viridiplantae; Streptophyta; Magnoliopsida; Poales; Poaceae
Also listed under: 2 other names
Source: RNAcentral
GGAUGCGAUCAUACCAGCACUAAAGCACCAGAUCCCAUCAGAACUCUGAAGUUAAGCGUGCUUGGGCGAGAGUAGUACUAGGAUGGGUGACCUCCUGGGAAGUCCUCGUGUUGCAUUCC